Molecule: ribosomal RNA, 465 nt
Filed under: Brevibacillus choshinensis
Lineage: Bacteria; Bacillati; Bacillota; Bacilli; Caryophanales; Paenibacillaceae
Description: bacterial SSU rRNA
Source: RNAcentral
CCUWACGGGGGGGGCGUGCAGUAGGGAAUUUUCCACAAUGGACGAAAGUCUGAUGGAGCAACGCCGCGUGAACGAUGAAGGUCUUCGGAUUGUAAAGUUCUGUUGUUAGGGACGAACAAGUACCGUUCGAAUAGGGCGGUACCUUGACGGUACCUGACGAGAAAGCCACGGCUAACUACGUGCCAGCAGCCGCGGUAAUACGUAGGUGGCAAGCGUUGUCCGGAUUUAUUGGGCGUAAAGCGCGCGCAGGCGGCUAUGUAAGUCUGGUGUUAAAGCCCGGAGCUCAACUCCGGUUCGCAUCGGAAACUGUGUAGCUUGAGUGCAGAAGAGGAAAGCGGUAUUCCACGUGUAGCGGUGAAAUGCGUAGAGAUGUGGAGGAACACCAGUGGCGAAGGCGGCUUUCUGGUCUGUAACUGACGCUGAGGCGCGAAAGCGUGGGGAGCAAAACAGGAUUAGAUCCCCCCC